UGUCCUACCACACAGUUGCUUGGAGCAAUGG
This 31-nucleotide non-coding RNA is filed under the name Homo sapiens (human). The record is from RNAcentral. Lineage: Eukaryota; Metazoa; Chordata; Mammalia; Primates; Hominidae.